Molecule: ribosomal RNA, 866 nt
Filed under: uncultured Clostridia bacterium
Lineage: Bacteria; Bacillati; Bacillota; Clostridia
Description: bacterial SSU rRNA
Rfam family: Bacterial small subunit ribosomal RNA
Source: RNAcentral
GGAUGAACGCUGGCGGCGUGCCUAACACAUGCAAGUCGAGCGUGAACCCUGCGAAUGAAACUUCGGUCGAUUUUGCAGGAGGAAAGCGGCGGACGGGUGAGUAACGCGUAGGUAACCUGCCCCAUACUGAGGGAUAGCCUCGGGAAACCGGGAUUAAUACCUCAUAACACCGUUUGUUCGCAUGGACGAACGGUCAAAGAUUUACCGGUAUGGGAUGGGCCUGCGUCUGAUUAGCUGGUUGGUGGGGUAACGGCCUACCAAGGCGACGAUCAGUAGCCGACCUGAGAGGGUGAUCGGCCACAUUGGAACUGAGACACGGUCCAAACUCCUACGGGAGGCAGCAGUGGGGAAUAUUGCACAAUGGGCGAAAGCCUGAUGCAGCAACGCCGCGUGAGCGAAGAAGGCCUUUGGGUUGUAAAGCUCUGUCGGGUAGGAAGAUAAUGACGGUACUACCCGAGGAAGCCCCGGCUAACUACGUGCCAGCAGCCGCGGUAAUACGUAGGGGGCGAGCGUUAUCCGGAAUUACUGGGUGUAAAGGGUGCGUAGGUGGCUGCUUAAGCGUGAGGUGAAAGGCAAUGGCUUAACCAUUGUGAGCCUCGCGAACUGGGUGGCUUGAGUGCAGGAGAGGAAAGCGGAAUUCCUAGUGUAGCGGUGAAAUGCGUAGAUAUUAGGAGGAACACCAGUGGCGAAGGCGGCUUUCUGGACUGCAACUGACACUGAGGCACGAAAGCGUGGGGAGCAAACAGGAUUAGAUACCCUGGUAGUCCACGCCGUAAACGAUGAGCACUAGGUGUCGGGGUCGCAAGACUUCGGUGCCGCGGUUAACGCAUUAAGUGCUCCGCCUGGGGAGUACGCACGCAAGUGUG